Molecule: ribosomal RNA, 500 nt
Filed under: uncultured bacterium
Lineage: Bacteria
Description: partial 16S ribosomal RNA
Rfam family: Bacterial small subunit ribosomal RNA
Source: RNAcentral
AUUGAACGCUGGCGGCAUGCCUUACACAUGCAAGUCGAACGGCAGCACGGGAGCAAUCCUGGUGGCGAGUGGCGAACGGGUGAGUAAAGUAUCGGAACGUGCCCAGUCGUGGGGGAUAACGUAGCGAAAGUUACGCUAAUACCGCAUACGAUCUAUGGAUGAAAGAGGGGGAUCGCAAGACCUCGCGUGAUUGUAGCGGCCGAUAUCAGAUUAGGUAGUUGGUGGGGUAAAGGCUCACCAAGCCGACGAUCUGUAGCUGGUCUGAGAGGACGACCAGCCACACUGGGACUGAGACACGGCCCAGACUCCUACGGGAGGCAGCAGUGGGGAAUUUUGGACAAUGGGCGAAAGCCUGAUCCAGCCAUGCCGCGUGCAGGAUGAAGGCCUUCGGGUUGUAAACUGCUUUUGUACGGAACGAAAAGGUUUGGCCUAAUAAGCUGAGCUCAUGACGGUACCGUAAGAAUAAGCACCGGCUAACUACGUGCCAGCCGCCGCCGUAA